Molecule: ribosomal RNA, 254 nt
Filed under: uncultured bacterium
Lineage: Bacteria
Description: partial 16S ribosomal RNA
Rfam family: Bacterial small subunit ribosomal RNA
Source: RNAcentral
UACGUAGGGUGCGAGCGUUGUCCGGAAUUAUUGGGCGUAAAGAGCUCGUAGGCGGUGUGUCGCGUCGGCCGUGAAAACCUGGGGCUCAACUCUGGGCGUGCGGUCGAUACGGGCAUCACUUGAGUUCGGCAGGGGAGACUGGAAUUCCUGGUGUAGCGGUGAAAUGCGCAGAUAUCGGGAGGAACACCGGUGGCGAAGGCGGGUCUCUGGGCCGAUACUGACGCUGAGGAGCGAAAGCGUGGGGAGCGAACAGG